UAUGAUUAUCACAGCAGUGACUGC
This 24-nucleotide non-coding RNA is filed under the name Arabidopsis thaliana (thale cress). The record is from RNAcentral. Lineage: Eukaryota; Viridiplantae; Streptophyta; Magnoliopsida; Brassicales; Brassicaceae.